UAAUCACUUGUCUUUUAAAUGAAGACCCGUAUGAAUGGCAUCACGAGGGCUUUACUGUCUCCUUUUUCCAGUCAAUGAAAUUGAUCUCCCCGUGCAGAAGCGGGGAUAACAACAUAAGACGAGAAGACCCUGUGAAGCUUAAAGACGACAAGCAGACCAAACUAAGUACCUCCCAUAAAAGAACUAAAGCACCGGACCCUGCCCUAAUGUCUUCGGUUGGGGCGACCACGGAGAAACAAAAAACCCCCAUGUGGACUAGAAGCACCAUUACCCUCUUUUUCUCUCCUACAACCUAGAGUUACCUCUCAAAGUAACAGAACUUUUGACCAAACAUGAUCCGGCCACGCCGAUUAACGAACCAAGUUACUCCAGGGAUAACAGCGCUAUCCCCUUUUAGAGCCCA
This 403-nucleotide ribosomal RNA is filed under the name Parambassis ranga (Indian glassy fish). RNAcentral describes it as "partial 16S ribosomal RNA". It matches the Rfam family "Bacterial large subunit ribosomal RNA", at positions 1962 to 2502 of the family's 2925-position model. The record is from RNAcentral. Lineage: Eukaryota; Metazoa; Chordata; Actinopteri; Ambassidae.